This 254-nucleotide ribosomal RNA is filed under the name uncultured bacterium. RNAcentral's name for it is "partial 16S ribosomal RNA". It matches the Rfam family "Bacterial small subunit ribosomal RNA", at positions 793 to 1055 of the family's 1533-position model. The record is from RNAcentral.
GUCCACGCCGUAAACGAUGGAUACUAGCUGUUGGGAGCAAUCUCAGUGGCUAAGCGAAAGUGAUAAGUAUCCCACCUGGGGAGUACGUUCGCAAGAAUGAAACUCAAAGGAAUUGACGGGGGCCCGCACAAGCGGUGGAGCAUGUGGUUUAAUUCGAUGAUACGCGAGGAACCUUACCAAGGCUUAAAUGUAGAUUGACAGGACUGGAAACAGUUUUUUCUCGGACAAUUUACAAGGUGCUGCAUGGUUGUCGU